UUGAACGCUGGCGGCAUGCUUUACACAUGCAAGUCGAACGGCAGCGCGGGCUUCGGCCUGGCGGCGAGUGGCGAACGGGUGAGUAAUGCAUCGGAACGUGCCCAGUAGUGGGGGAUAGCCCGGCGAAAGCCGGAUUAAUACCGCAUACGACCUGAGGGUGAAAGCGGGGGACCGAAAGGCCUCGCGCUAUUGGAGCGGCCGAUGUCGGAUUAGCUAGUUGGUGGGGUAAAGGCUUACCAAGGCGACGAUCCGUAGCUGGUCUGAGAGGACGACCAGCCACACUGGGACUGAGACACGGCCCAGACUCCUACGGGAGGCAGCAGUGGGGAAUCUUGGACAAUGGGGGCAACCCUGAUCCAGCCAUGCCGCGUGCGGGAAGAAGGCCUUCGGGUUGUAAACCGCUUUUGUUCGGGAAGAAAUCCUCUGGGCUAAUACCCCGGGGGGAUGACGGUACCGGAAGAAUAAGCACCGGCUAACUACGUG
RNAcentral lists this ribosomal RNA (483 nucleotides) under uncultured bacterium. Its description in RNAcentral is "partial 16S ribosomal RNA". It matches the Rfam family "Bacterial small subunit ribosomal RNA", at positions 29 to 507 of the family's 1533-position model. The record is from RNAcentral.